RNAcentral lists this ribosomal RNA (1121 nucleotides) under uncultured archaeon. RNAcentral's name for it is "bacterial SSU rRNA". It matches the Rfam family "Archaeal small subunit ribosomal RNA", at positions 325 to 1450 of the family's 1478-position model. The record is from RNAcentral.
ACGGGGCGCAGCAGGCGCGAAAACUGUGCAAUGCGCGAAAGCGCGACACGGGAAACUUGAGUGCCUUGGCAUUGUCAAGGCUUUUCUUAAGCCUAAAAAGCUUAAGGAAUAAGAGCUGGGCAAGACGGGUGCCAGCCGCCGCGGUAACACCCGCAGCUCGAGUGGUGGUCACUUUUAUUGAGCCUAAAGCGUUUGUAGCCGGUUUUGCAAAUCUUCAGAUAAAUUCCUCUGCUUAACAGAUGAUCUUCUGAAGAGACUGCGAGACUUGGGACCGGGUGAGGUUGAAGGUACUUCCGGGGUAGGGGUAAAAUCCUGUAAUCCUGGAAGGACGACCGGUGGCGAAGGCGUUCAACUAGAACGGAUCCGACGGUGAGGAACGAGGGCUAGGGUAGCAAACCGGAUUAGAUACCCGGGUAGUCCUAGCUGUAAACACUGCCCACUUGGUGUUGCCCCUCCGAUGAGGGGAGGCAGUGCCGGAGCGAAAGUGUUAAGUGGGCCGCUUGGGGAGUAUGGUCGCAAGGCUGAAACUUAAAGGAAUUGGCGGGGGAGCACCGCAACGGGAGGAGCGUGCGGUUUAAUUGGAUUCAACGCCGGAAAACUCACCGGGAGCGACCUUUGGAUGAGAGUCAGCCUGAUGAGCUUACUCGAUAGAAGGAGAGGUGGUGCAUGGCCGUCGUCAGCUCGUACCGUAGGGCGUUCACUUAAGUGUGAUAACGAGCGAGACCCCCAUCUCUAAUUGCUAACGUGCAUUCGCGUGUACGCGCACUUUAGAGGGACCGCCAGUGCUAAACUGGAGGAAGGAGGGGUCGACGGCAGGUCAGUACGCCCCGAAUCUCCCGGGCAACACGCGCGCUACAAAGGGCAGGACAAUGAGUUGCCACCUCGAAAGGGGGAGCUAAUCUCGAAACCUGUUCGUAGUUAGGAUUGAGGGCUGUAACUCGCCCUCAUGAAUGUGGAUUCCGUAGUAAUCGCGGGUCAACAGCCCGCGGUGAAUAUGCCCCUGCUCCUUGCACACACCGCCCGUCAAACCAUCCGAGCUGGUGCUGGAUGAGGGUAUGCUCUUAUGGGCAAACUCAAAUCUGAUGUCGGUGAGGAGGGUUAAGUCGUAACAAGGUAGCCGU